Molecule: ribosomal RNA, 1331 nt
Filed under: uncultured bacterium
Lineage: Bacteria
Description: bacterial SSU rRNA
Rfam family: Bacterial small subunit ribosomal RNA
Source: RNAcentral
GACGAACGCUGGCGGCGCGCCUAACACAUGCAAGUCGAACGAGCGAGAGAGAGCUUGCUUUCUCGAGCGAGUGGCGAACGGGUGAGUAACGCGUGAGGAACCUGCCUCAAAGAGGGGGACAACAGUUGGAAACGACUGCUAAUACCGCAUAAGCCCACGGGUCGGCAUCGACCAGAGGGAAAAGGAGCAAUCCGCUUUGAGAUGGCCUCGCGUCCGAUUAGCUAGUUGGUGAGGUAACGGCCCACCAAGGCAACGAUCGGUAGCCGGACUGAGAGGUUGAACGGCCACAUUGGGACUGAGACACGGCCCAGACUCCUACGGGAGGCAGCAGUGGGGAAUAUUGCACAAUGGGGGAAACCCUGAUGCAGCGACGCCGCGUGGAGGAAGAAGGUCUUCGGAUUGUAAACUCCUGUUGUUGGGGAAGAUAAUGACGGUACCCAACAAGGAAGUGACGGCUAACUACGUGCCAGCAGCCGCGGUAAAACGUAGGUCACAAGCGUUGUCCGGAAUUACUGGGUGUAAAGGGAGCGCAGGCGGGAAGACAAGUUGGAAGUGAAAUCUAUGGGCUCAACCCAUAAACUGCUUUCAAAACUGUUUUUCUUGAGUAGUGCAGAGGUAGGCGGAAUUCCCGGUGUAGCGGUGGAAUGCGUAGAUAUCGGGAGGAACACCAGUGGCGAAGGCGGCCUACUGGGCACCAACUGACGCUGAGGCUCGAAAGUGUGGGUAGCAAACAGGAUUAGAUACCCUGGUAGUCCACACCGUAAACGAUGAUUACUAGGUGUUGGAGGAUUGACCCCUUCAGUGCCGCAGUUAACACAAUAAGUAAUCCACCUGGGGAGUACGACCGCAAGGUUGAAACUCAAAGGAAUUGACGGGGGCCCGCACAAGCAGUGGAGUAUGUGGUUUAAUUCGACGCAACGCGAAGAACCUUACCAAGUCUUGACAUCCCUUGACAGACAUAGAAAUAUGUAUUCUCUUCGGAGCAAGGAGACAGGUGGUGCAUGGUUGUCGUCAGCUCGUGUCGUGAGAUGUUGGGUUAAGUCCCGCAACGAGCGCAACCCUUAUGGUCAGUUACUACGCAAGAGGACUCUGGCCAGACUGCCGUUGACAAAACGGAGGAAGGUGGGGAUGACGUCAAAUCAUCAUGCCCUUUAUGACUUGGGCUACACACGUACUACAAUGGCGUUAAACAAAGAGAAGCAAGACCGCGAGGUGGAGCAAAACUCAGAAACAACGUCCCAGUUCGGACUGCAGGCUGCAACUCGCCUGCACGAAGUCGGAAUUGCUAGUAAUCGUGAUCAGCAUGCCACGGUGAAUACGUUCCCGGGCCU